GAGGCCAGUUGUCAGCAACGAGUUCCUGUCUGGUGCAGAAGCAGUGCGUAUAUGGAAUCGACUGCGGACGAGCUCUGUUCAUCGUCCUGACGUACCUGCCGUACCCCCGCUUCCGGGGAACCUGGUUCGGGGACGCAACGAGUGCGAGCCAUAAGAAAAAGCUGGGGCGGCGGCACACACACACACACGCCCUUUGAGAACUACUCCGACGCCAACAUGACGCCAGCCGCUGAGGCCCGUCUGAUCCCACACUUGAUUGUCUUGUCGCCGAACUUGCGACGUUCUGGAGAUGAGCGUUUGAUAGAUGGAGGUACGCUUCAUCAGCGGGACGGGAGCCCAGAACAACCCUUUCUUUUCAAGGGGCCUGGUUGCUUCCUAUGGCAACGCUGUACGUACGCAAGCUGAAUAGCGUCUGGAAUGGAUAUUGUUCGCAGUUCCGUUAAAGCUCGCUCCAGUGCCUGGACUGUACUUAUCCAACGCGCUUUGCAGCCACCGCUAAGAGGAUAUCGUGAAAGAACGAGCUGCGAAACCGAGCGCUGGUUUGCUGGGCCUGUAGCCGGCGAUCGACUCGUCCAUUACCCGCUUCCGUCGCUCGCUCAUGCUCAUGGCAUGCCAGCUGCUAGCGUCCUCCUGGAAUGCCGAUUGGACUCGGGCCCAGAACCACGUGCGGUCUAGAAGACGACAACCUGCACAACCACAAGUCCAGGUCCGUUCGCUCCGAUUAGUAUCCCGAAGCAACUGAACUGGACAUCAUUUCAUUGUCUUUGCGCUAUAUGCAGGAUGCAUAUUGCUGGGAUGCAUGCGCUUCGCUCCUGGGAUCACACGAGAGGUAAAGAGGCGUUGUGGAGAAUUCACCCUGCAUCGUCCUAAUUGUACAUUCAUGUCUAGGUACUCAGACACGCACGCAUCUGAGCGCUACGUGUCCGGGGGGCGCUCAGGGCAGGCGAGCCCGAUAUGCGUGUCGCGGACACGUGUCCGAGCCUAUCAUAAAAAGACGAAUAGGAUAAAGAUGCCCGCCCCAUAAGAGGUAGUACACCCGUGCUCGAUCUGAGGCCCAGCCGCCGAACCGGGAUGGCGCUCUGUUCUUCGCACAGAGCAUCGAUUGAAAACGGGUUUGAGUCUUGCGAGCAAGCAGCGACGCAUCGCGUGGAACGUUUCUCCAGAUCCUUGGGGCGGGUCCGCACAUUUACGGCCCAAACGUUUCGCGUGAACUUCAACAAGCAGCGAGCGGGGUCGUUUGGAGCAUAUACCCAUGGUGCCUCGGCUGUAUGGAAACCUGAGCAAGUCGCCAGCGACCUGUUAGCGAGAAUACGAGAGUCGCGCAGCUCGUCGCUUUGCUGGUGACUUGCUGCGGAUGCAUGAAAUCGAGCGAGCCGCACACGCUGCUGUUCUGAAAGUGCAGCGUGCUUCGCGCGUUGCCAGUGCAUCGACGUUCAGCACGUGUUCCGUAUCCGUGUGCGCAGACUCGGCCGUCGAGCUUGUUCUUCAUUAAAUACAAGAGAACGUUUUGGGGUCGCAGACGCCAAAAAAACGCCGAGCAUUUAAAAACACA
Molecule: unclassified non-coding RNA, 1552 nt
Filed under: Cyanidioschyzon merolae strain 10D
Lineage: Eukaryota; Rhodophyta; Bangiophyceae; Cyanidiales; Cyanidiaceae
Description: hypothetical transcript
Source: RNAcentral